This 911-nucleotide ribosomal RNA is filed under the name uncultured archaeon. RNAcentral describes it as "bacterial SSU rRNA". It matches the Rfam family "Archaeal small subunit ribosomal RNA", at positions 1 to 922 of the family's 1478-position model. The record is from RNAcentral.
UUCCGGUUGAUCCUGCCGGACCUGACUGCUAUCGGAUUGAUACUAAGCCAUGUGAGUCAUUGUAGCAAUACAAGGCAGACGGCUCAGUAACACGUAGCCAAUCUAACCUAUGGACGGGGAUAACCUCGGGAAACUGAGGAUAAACCCCGAUAGAUCAUUAUGCCUGGAACGGUUUAUGGUCCAAACGAUUCGUCGCCAUAGGAUGAGACUGCGGCCUAUCAGCUUGUUGGUGAGGUAAUGGCCCACCAAGGCUAUUACAGGUACGGGCUCUGAGAGGAGAAGCCCGGAGAUGGGUACUGAGACACGGACCCAGGCCCUAUGGGGCGCAGCAGGCGAGAAACCUUUGCAAUGUGCGCAAGCACGACAAGGUUAAUCCGAGUGUUUCCUGCUAAAGGAAUCUUUUGUUAGUCCUAAAAACACUAGCGAAUAAGGGGUGGGCAAGUUCUGGUGUCAGCCGCCGCGGUAAAACCAGCACCUCAAGUUGUCAGGAGGAUUAUUGGGCCUAAAGCAUCCGUAGCCUGCUCUGUAAGUUUCCGGUUAAAUCCAUUUGCUCAACAAAUGGGCUGCCGGAAAAACUGCAAAGCUAGGGAGUGGGAGAGGUAGACGGUACUCGGUAGGAAGGGGUAAAAUCCUUUGAUCUAUUGAUGACCACCUGUGGCGAAGGCGGUCUACCAGAACACGUUCGACGGUGAGGGAUGAAGCUGGGGGAGCAAACCGGAUUAGAUACCCGGGUAGUCCCAGCUGUAAACGAUGCAGACUCGGUGAUGCGCUGGCUUGUGGCCAGUGCAGUGCCGCAGGGAAGCCGUUAGUUUGCCGCUGGGAAGUACGUACCGCAAGUAUGAAACUUAAAGGAAUUGGCGCGGGGAGCACCACAAGGGUGAAAUCUGCCGAUCAUUUGACUCACCGUCUGU